Molecule: ribosomal RNA, 87 nt
Filed under: Corchorus capsularis
Lineage: Eukaryota; Viridiplantae; Streptophyta; Magnoliopsida; Malvales; Malvaceae
Source: RNAcentral
GGCUGCGAUCAUACCAGCACUAAUGCACCGGAUCCCUGAGUAGUACUAGGAUGGGUGACCUCCUGGGAAGUCCUCGUGUUGCACCCC